GUAUUCAGACCAGCAGUGCUUAUAAUAAAAUUGGAAUGAUACAGAAAUAACAUAACCCCUUAACAUGAAUGACAUGUAAAUGCAUGAAACAUAUUUUUUUUUG
Small nuclear RNA from Phascolarctos cinereus (koala), 103 nucleotides. NCBI's taxonomy places the organism in Eukaryota, Metazoa, Chordata, Mammalia, Diprotodontia, Phascolarctidae. The record is from Ensembl.